GAUGAACGCUGGCGGCGUGCCUAAUACAUGCAAGUCGAGCGAACAGAUGAGGAGCUUGCUCCUCUGACGUUAGCGGCGGACGGGUGAGUAGCACGUGGAUAACCUACCUAUAAGACUGGGAUAACUUCGGGAAACCGGAGCUAAUACCGGAUAAUAUAUUGAACCGCAUGGUUCAAUAGUGAAAGACGGUUUUGCUGUCACUUAUAGAUGGAUCCGCGCCGCAUUAGCUAGUUGGUAAGGUAACGGCUUACCAAGGCAACGAUGCGUAGCCGACCUGAGAGGGUGAUCGGCCACACUGGAACUGAGACACGGUCCAGACUCCUACGGGAGGCAGCAGUAGGGAAUCUUCCGCAAAGGGCGAAAGCCUGACGGAGCAACGCCGCGUGAGUGAUGAAGGUCUUCGGAUCGUAAAACUCUGUUAUUAGGGAAGAACAAAUGUGUAAGUAACUAUGCACGUCUUGACGGUACCUAAUCAGAAAGCCACGGCUAACUACGUG
This 497-nucleotide ribosomal RNA is filed under the name uncultured bacterium. RNAcentral describes it as "partial 16S ribosomal RNA". It matches the Rfam family "Bacterial small subunit ribosomal RNA", at positions 28 to 507 of the family's 1533-position model. The record is from RNAcentral.